CCUACGGGAGGCAGCAGUGGGGAAUAUUGCACAAUGGGGGAAACCCUGAUGCAGCAACGCCGCGUGAGUGAAGAAGUAUUUCGGUAUGUAAAGCUCUAUCAGUAGGGAAGAAGAAAGACGGUACCUGACUAAGAAGCCCCGGCUAACUACGUGCCAGCAGCCGCGGUAAUACGGAGGGGGCAAGCGUUAUCCGGAUUUACUGGGUGUAAAGGGAGCGUAGACGGCUGUGCAAGUCUGAUGUGAAAGCCCGGGGCUCAACCGCGGAACUGCAUUGGAAACUGUGUGGCUGGAGUACUGAAGAGGCAGGCGGAAUUGUAGGUGUAGCGGUGAAAUGCGUAGAUAUAAGGAGGAACACCAGUGGCGAAGGCGGGUUGCUGGACGGAAACGGACGUUGAGGCUCGAAAGCGUGGGGAGCAAACAGGAUUAGAUACCCGAGUAGUC
RNAcentral lists this ribosomal RNA (441 nucleotides) under uncultured bacterium. RNAcentral describes it as "partial 16S ribosomal RNA". It matches the Rfam family "Bacterial small subunit ribosomal RNA", at positions 338 to 795 of the family's 1533-position model. The record is from RNAcentral.